Molecule: ribosomal RNA, 501 nt
Filed under: uncultured bacterium
Lineage: Bacteria
Description: partial 16S ribosomal RNA
Rfam family: Bacterial small subunit ribosomal RNA
Source: RNAcentral
AUUGAACGCUGGCGGCAGGCUUAACACAUGCAAGUCGAGCGGGGGAAGGUAGCUUGCUACCGGACCUAGCGGCGGACGGGUGAGUAAUGCUUAGGAAUCUGCCUAUUAGUGGGGGACAACAUCUCGAAAGGGAUGCUAAUACCGCAUACGUCCUACGGGAGAAAGCAGGGGAUCUUCGGACCUUGAGCUAAUAGAUGAGCCUAAGUCGGAUUAGCUAGUUGGUGGGGUAAAGGCCUACCAAGGCGACGAUCUGUAGCGGGGCUGAGAGGAUGGGCCGCCACACGGGGACUGAGACACGGCCCAGACUCCUACGGGAGGCAGCAGUGGGGAAUAUUGGACAAUGGGGGGAACCCUGAUCCAGCCAUGCCGCGUGUGUGAAGAAGGCCUUAUGGUUGUAAAGCACUUUAAGCGAGGAGGAGGCUCUUUUGGUUAAUACCCAAGAUGAGUGGACGUUACUCGCAGAAUAAGCACCGGCUAACUCUGUGCCAGCCGCCGCAGUAA